RNAcentral lists this ribosomal RNA (500 nucleotides) under Bacillus sp. M12-C11. Its description in RNAcentral is "bacterial SSU rRNA". It matches the Rfam family "Bacterial small subunit ribosomal RNA", at positions 1 to 489 of the family's 1533-position model. Lineage: Bacteria; Bacillati; Bacillota; Bacilli; Caryophanales; Bacillaceae. The record is from RNAcentral.
UGAGCUUGAUCCUGGCUCAGGACGAACGCUGGCGGCGUGCCUAAUACAUGCAAGUCGAGCGGACUAAUGGGAGCUUGCUCCCUGAGGUCAGCGGCGGACGGGUGAGUAACACGUGGGCAACCUGCCUGUAAGACUGGGAUAACUCCGGGAAACCGGGGCUAAUACCGGAUAAUCCGUUCCACCUCAUGGUGGAGCGGUAAAAGAUGGCCUCUGGCUAUCACUUACAGAUGGGCCCGCGGCGCAUUAGCUAGUUGGUAAGGUAACGGCUUACCAAGGCGACGAUGCGUAGCCGACCUGAGAGGGUGAUCGGCCACACUGGGACUGAGACACGGCCCAGACUCCUACGGGAGGCAGCAGUAGGGAAUCUUCCGCAAUGGACGAAAGUCUGACGGAGCAACGCCGCGUGAGUGAUGAAGGUUUUCGGAUCGUAAAGCUCUGUUGUUAGGGAAGAACAAGUGCCGUUUGAAUAAGGCGGCACCUUGACGGUACCUAACCAGAAA